Non-coding RNA from Potamilus streckersoni, 84 nucleotides. Lineage: Eukaryota; Metazoa; Mollusca; Bivalvia; Unionida; Unionidae. The record is from the annotation of a GenBank genome assembly.
GUUUUGGUGGCCUAGUGGUUAGAGCAUCCUCCUCUGAUGCGGGAGGUCGUGGGUUUUAUCCCCGGUCGAAUCAUACCAAAGACU